Molecule: unclassified non-coding RNA, 1479 nt
Filed under: Leishmania donovani
Lineage: Eukaryota; Euglenozoa; Kinetoplastea; Trypanosomatida; Trypanosomatidae
Description: gene:unknown
Source: RNAcentral
GUGGGUGCUCCAGCACCUGCGGAAAGUUUUGGACGCCCACGAGUCCGUCAUUAUCAUAUUCCACUGAUCCCACCCCCAUAGGGGUCCCUCACUCACGCAAUAGGAACUAUGUCGGAGAGGGAUUUGGUGUGUGUGGCUUCGGCCUUCACGGUGCAGAGGGGGCGCGCUUCCGUUGAGUUCCGACGGGCUGGUGCCGGAGCAGUCGCUGAGCACGGGCUUUUCGUGUAUGGCCAAGCCUCGCGCCGCCUCACGUUUGCGGCGCUGCAGGCGGAUUACGCCGGCUCUCGCUUGCACACCAUGAGCUUCAACGAUUUGGGAAAAGGCGGAAGUCCUGCGCACGUGGAGAUUCUGAUCGCGGAUGGUUCCAAUCAUGAUGCUGCUGCGGGAGGUGGUGCAGGUGUCCGAGGAGUGCACCCAUCGCCUCGAGGGCCCCGCCCGCGCCCGCUGCCGGGAGACGAAGCGGGUGCUGGCGUGGGGCGAGUGGCGGCGGGUCUGGGAGGACAUGGAUGCUGCCGUCUCUGAGGAGCUCCAUCGCGGACCGGCACACCCACGGAGGAGGAUCCGCGGCCGCGCUUCCGUCUCUCCCCUUCCGUGCUCGACCCGUGGCAUGCACGCAAGGCGUCGCCGCAGGGCGGAAACAGCGUGUGCCGGCUCAUUCUAGUGGCGGCAUCGACGGCGGAGCGGAUGGAUUCACCGGAGACCGCGGCGCAAGCAUCCAUGUCGUGGGAAUGGCAGAGCAAUGUAUGGCUGCUGAUGUCGGUAGCGGGGUCCUGGGUGGCGUGGCGUCGGAGUGAGCGGUGACAGUGCACACGCUUGCGUCAUCCAUAUGGGAGGCAACGUGUCAGUGUGACUCCAACGCAUCCUCUCCCCCCCACACACACACAUCCCCGGCCCUCACACCGACUUCUUGGCGGAGAGUCUGAGCCACCCCGGCGGGGAUGCGGCAGAGAGGGGGGCGACGGGCAUAAUGCGGGCAGCGGCUAUGAAGCGACGUGGGAAGCGGGGUGUGGGCUGCGUUCGAGGCAGGGGCCGUGCUCCGACGACUGAGCCGGCGCAUCGCCGUACCCGCGCGUCUCCCGCUGCUUUGCGCCACGCGAUGGGUGCCUGUGACACGGGCCAGAGGGGGAGGGGCGGUGGUGGCGUGCAGUUCAUGCGCCACGGUAGCGAAAUGCACGCGUUGCCGAAGAUGUUUCACGAGCGCUGUAAAGCGCGCUUUCCGUCUCCAACGCCUCUCCCUUCCAAUGGAAACCGACGAGCAAGCAGAAGGCAAGAAAAAAGUUGGAAAGCGUACAUAGACGGGCUGCAGCUGAGCAGACAGAGCGAGGCCUGCCCAUCGUCUAUCUUACCACGCCUCAGCUGCCCUCCGUGGGUGCGUCGUGUCACGACAGUACUUAAGAGUUGGAAAGGGGUGGUGGCUGCUAGUGCUAGUGCCUCACCUCAGUCUGCUGUGCUCCCAGUCUCUCCCUCGUCGACGCUGCC